Molecule: ribosomal RNA, 253 nt
Filed under: uncultured bacterium
Lineage: Bacteria
Description: partial 16S ribosomal RNA
Rfam family: Bacterial small subunit ribosomal RNA
Source: RNAcentral
UACGUAGGGCGCAAGCGUUGUCCGGAAUUAUUGGGCGUAAAGAGCUCGUAGGCGGUUUGUCGCGUCUGUCGUGAAAGCUUGGGGCUUAACCCCAAGUCUGCGGUGGAUACGGGCAGACUAGAGGCAGGUAGGGGAGAACGGAAUUCCCGGUGUAGCGGUGAAAUGCGCAGAUAUCGGGAGGAACACCGGUGGCGAAGGCGGCACUCUGGGCCGGUACUGACGCUGAGGAGCGAAAGCGUGGGUAGCAAACAGG